RNAcentral lists this ribosomal RNA (166 nucleotides) under Oxyconger leptognathus (shorttail pike conger). Its description in RNAcentral is "partial 12S rRNA". The record is from RNAcentral. Lineage: Eukaryota; Metazoa; Chordata; Actinopteri; Anguilliformes; Muraenesocidae.
CACCGCGGUUAUACGAGUGGCUCAAAUUGAAAUUCCACGGCGUAAAGCGUGAUUAGAGAAAGAAGAACUAAAGCCAAAAAUACCCCCUGCUGUUAUACGCUUACGGGGAAAGAGGCCCCACACGAAAGUAGCUUUAAUUAAUAUUGAAUUCACGACCAUUGAGAAA